GAAGGUAAGCCAUAAAAAGGGUCUAAGCGGGUAUUAACUCCUCCCUUGCCGCUACUACCGAGGCCUAUUGUCCACGAAGUCUGAUCUCUUAACUGGCUUUGGAAAGGCAUACAAAGACUAUUCGAAGACAAUGGGAUUGGUUCUCUUACAGUUCAAUUCCAGGUGAAAAAGAAAGCGCAUUACUCCUUCCAAUAUUCAUUGCCUC
RNAcentral lists this long non-coding RNA (205 nucleotides) under Panax ginseng (ginseng). RNAcentral describes it as "long non-coding RNA (PGIN_LNC009248)". Lineage: Eukaryota; Viridiplantae; Streptophyta; Magnoliopsida; Apiales; Araliaceae. The record is from RNAcentral.